Molecule: ribosomal RNA, 1218 nt
Filed under: Hyalonema obtusum
Lineage: Eukaryota; Metazoa; Porifera; Hexactinellida; Amphidiscosida; Hyalonematidae
Description: eukaryotic LSU rRNA
Rfam family: Eukaryotic large subunit ribosomal RNA
Source: RNAcentral
AGCUCGUAGCGGUUCUGACGUGCAAAUCGAUCGUCAAAUUUGGGUAUAGGGGCGAAAGACUAAUCGAACCAUCUAGUAGCUGGUUCCCUCCGAAGUUUCCCUCAGGAUAGCUGGAGCCCGAGUGUGUGUGCAGUUUUAUCAGGUAAAGCGAAUGAUUAGAGGCCUUGGGGUUGAAAUGACCUCAACCUAUUCUCAAACUUUAAAUGGGUAAGAUGUUCCACUUGCUUAACUCGUGCACUCGCGUGCGGCCUUCCGGGGCCAACCUCGUGUGCACUGUUGGUGCGUGGCUGUGUGUGCGUCUUCGGGCGUGUGCGCGACUGYGCGCCAAUGUGAAGUGGAUCUCUUGAAUGCAGGGGCUCCAAGUGGGCCAUUUUUGGUAAGCAGAACUGGCGAUGCGGGAUGAACCGAACGCUGGGUUAAGGUGCCAAAGUCGACGCUCAUCAGAGCCCACGAAAGGUGUUGGUUGAUAUAGACAGCAGGACGGUGGCCAUGGAAGUCGGAAUCCGCUAAGGAGUGUGUAACAACCCACCUGCCGAAUCAACUAGCCCUGAAAAUGGAUGGCGCUCAAGCGUCGCACCUAUCCCCGGCCGCCGUGUCGAGGUGUGUGGCCAGCACGGCGAGUAGGAGGGCGCUGGGAUGGCUGUGCAGGCUGGCGCGUGAGCCUAGUUGAAGCCCGUCUCGGGUGCAGAUCUUGGUGGUAGUAGCAAUUAUUCAAAUGAGAUCUUUGAAGGCCGAAGUGGAGAAGGGUUCCACGUGAACAGCACUUGGACGUGGGUGAGUCGGUCCUAAGGGAUGGGCGAAAGCCUGUGAGUUAAGCGCGCAUUCGUGGCACGUGCCUGCGUCUGCCUGAGGUGGCCUGUGCGUUCUCUCUCGGGGGAGUGUGCCGGCUGCUGAGGGUGCGUGGGUGCGUCUACGGCUUGAAAGAGUGGCGCGAUGUCCCGAAAGGGAAUCGGGUUAAUAUUCCCGAACCGGACACUUGGAUGCUGCCGGCGGUAGACAACGGCAACGUAUACGACCUCGGAGACGCCUGCGACAGACCUGGGAAGAGUUGUCUUUUCUUCUUGACCGUACCUACCGUGUACUUGGCCCUGGAAGCAGUUUACCUUGAGAUAGGGCUGGAGGUCGGGCAAAGCGUCGUACCUGUUGCGGCGUCCGGUGCUCUGUCGUGGGCCCCUGAAAAUCUGAGGAAGCGUUAAGUGAUCUCGUGUUCGGCCGUAC